AACGAAGAUGGCGACCGGCGCACGGGUGAGUAACACGUAUCCAACCUGCCUCAUACUCGGGGAUAGCCUUUCGAAGAAAGAUUAAUAUCCGAUAGCAUAUAUUUCCCGCAUGGGUUUUAUAUUAAAGAAAUUCGGUAUGAGAUGGGGAUGCGUUCCAUUAGUUUGUUGGGGGGGUAACGGCCCACCAAGACUACGAUGGAUAGGGGUUCUGAGAGGAAGGUCCCCCACAUUGGAACUGAGACACGGUCAA
RNAcentral lists this ribosomal RNA (250 nucleotides) under uncultured bacterium. Its description in RNAcentral is "partial 16S ribosomal RNA". It matches the Rfam family "Bacterial small subunit ribosomal RNA", at positions 81 to 333 of the family's 1533-position model. The record is from RNAcentral.